Molecule: long non-coding RNA, 281 nt
Filed under: Mytilus galloprovincialis (Mediterranean mussel)
Lineage: Eukaryota; Metazoa; Mollusca; Bivalvia; Mytilida; Mytilidae
Source: RNAcentral
UUAAGGUGGUACCUAACACUACAGGGAGAUAACUCUGUAAUAUCAGCUAAACGUUUUAAUUGCGUUGCGUUGUGAAGGCAAAAUAAAGCUUCUCAAUGAUCAAAAUUAGUGUUUGUCAAACUGCUAUAUAACCAGUGUAAUUUUUCUGAUAAAACGCUUGGUUCAAAUUAUUUUAAUUUUUUAUAUUUUUGUAAAAGGGUCAAAGUAAAUACUUUGUAAAAAUUUUAUGAAAAUUAAACGAGCCAAAUUAAUUUUAGUGAAAGUGUUGGGUACCACCUUAA